UACCGCGAAACUGCGAAUGGCUCAUUAAAUCAGUUAUCGUCUAUUUGAUAGUACCUUACUACUUGGAUAACCGUGGUAAUUCUAGAGCUAAUACAUGCUGAAAACCCCGACUUCGGAAGGGAUGUAUUUAUUAGAUUAAAAGCCAACGCCCUUCGGGGCUCCCUGGUGAUUCAUGAUAACUGCUCGAAUCGCACGGCCUUGCGCCGGCGAUGGUUCAUUCAAAUUUCUGCCCUAUCAACUUUCGACGGCUGGGUCUUGGCCAGCCGUGGUGACAACGGGUAACGGAGGGUUAGGGCUCGACCCCGGAGAAGGAGCCUGAGAAACGGCUACUACAUCCAAGGAAGGCAGCAGGCGCGCAAAUUACCCAAUCCCGACGCGGGGAGGUAGUGACAAUAAAUACUGAUACAGGGCUCUUUUGGGUCUUGUAAUUGGAAUGAGUACAAUUUAAUUCCCUUAACGAGGAACAAUUGGAGGGCAAGUCUGGUGCCAGCAGCCGCGGUAAUUCCAGCUCCAAUAGCGUAUAUUAAAGUUGUUGCAGUUAAAAAGCUCGUAGUUGAACCUUGGGCCUGGCUGGCCGGUCCGCCUCACCGCGUGCACUGGUCCGGCCGGGCCUUUCCCUCUGGGGAGCCGCAUGCCCUUCACUGGGCGUGCCGGGGAACCAGGACUUUUACUUUGAAAAAAUUAGAGUGUUCAAAGCAGGCUUAUGCUCGGAUACAUUAGCAUGGAAUAAUAGAAUAGGACGCGUGGUUCUAUUUUGUUGGUUUCUAGGACCGCCGUAAUGAUUAAUAGGGACAGUCGGGGGCAUCAGUAUUCAGUUGCGAGAGGUGAAAUUCUUGGACCAACUGAAGACUAACUACUGCGAAAGCAUUUGCCAAGGAUGUUUUCAUUAAUCAGGAACGAAAGUUAGGGGAUCGAAGACGAUCAGAUACCGUCGUAGUCUUAACCAUAAACUAUGCCGACUAGGGAUCGGGCGGUGUUAUCUUUUGACCCGCUCGGCACCUUGCACGAAAGUACAAG
RNAcentral lists this ribosomal RNA (1017 nucleotides) under Dryadomyces sulphureus. RNAcentral's name for it is "SSU rRNA". It matches the Rfam family "Eukaryotic small subunit ribosomal RNA", at positions 77 to 1103 of the family's 1831-position model. Lineage: Eukaryota; Fungi; Ascomycota; Sordariomycetes; Ophiostomatales; Ophiostomataceae. The record is from RNAcentral.